Molecule: ribosomal RNA, 507 nt
Filed under: uncultured Glomus
Lineage: Eukaryota; Fungi; Glomeromycota; Glomeromycetes; Glomerales; Glomeraceae
Description: SSU rRNA
Rfam family: Eukaryotic small subunit ribosomal RNA
Source: RNAcentral
AGCAGCCGCGGUAAUUCCAGCUCCAAUAGCGUAUAUUAAAGUUGUUGCAGUUAAAAAGCUCGUAGUUGAAUUUCGGGGUCAGUAGGUUGGUCAUGCCACUGGUAUGUACUGGUCUCACUGAUUCCUCCUUCCUGAUGAACUGUAAUGCCAUUAAUUUGGUGUUGCAGGGAAUCUGGACUGUUACUUUGAAAAAAUUAGAGUGUUUAAAGCAGGCUCACGCUUGAAUACAUUAGCAUGGAAUAAUGAAAUAGGACGUUUGAUUCUAUUUUGUUGGUUUCUAGGAUCGACGUAAUGAUUAAUAGGGAUAGUUGGGGGCAUUAGUAUUCAAUUGUCAGAGGUGAAAUUCUUGGAUUUAUUGAAGACUAACUACUGCGAAAGCAUUUGCCAAGGAUGUUUUCAUUAAUCAAGAACGAAAGUUAGGGGAUCGAAGACGAUCAGAUACCGUCGUAGUCUUAACCAUAAACUAUGCCGACUAGGGAUCGGAUGAUGUUAAUUUUUAAUUGUACU